MicroRNA precursor from Cercocebus atys (sooty mangabey), 82 nucleotides. Lineage: Eukaryota; Metazoa; Chordata; Mammalia; Primates; Cercopithecidae. The record is from Ensembl.
AUUAGGUUGGUGCAAAAGUAAUCACAGUUUUUGCCAUUACUUUUAAGGGAAAAAACCGUGAUUACUUUUGCACAAACAUAAU